This 104-nucleotide non-coding RNA is filed under the name Candidatus Omnitrophota bacterium. Its description in RNAcentral is "Omnitrophica WOR c-di-GMP sequence". It matches the Rfam family "c-di-GMP-I riboswitch aptamer". From Rfam's summary of the family: GEMM was predicted in a large-scale screen for bacterial structured RNA regulatory elements. Genes associated with GEMM are involved in a diverse array of functions, including chemotaxis regulation, signal transduction, secretion and chitin. The record is from RNAcentral. Lineage: Bacteria; Pseudomonadati; Candidatus Omnitrophota.
UCUGGUACAUGGCAAAGUUACGGGUCUAAAGGUAAACAGCCUACGAUCGCCGGACCGUAAACGCCGACAACGUAACCAUUACCUAUGACCGCCGAGCUGCCGAA